Molecule: ribosomal RNA, 1199 nt
Filed under: Ascomycota sp. L362
Lineage: Eukaryota; Fungi; Ascomycota
Description: eukaryotic LSU rRNA
Rfam family: Eukaryotic large subunit ribosomal RNA (bases 544-1199)
Source: RNAcentral
AAAGUUUACAAGUUCGCUGGGAAAAGCGGAGGGAUCAUUAUCGAGAUUUAUUCAACUCCCAAACCCUAUGUGAACUUACCCCUUGGUGCUUCGGCGGCGCUUCGGCGCUGCCGGGGGUAUCAAACUCUUAUUGUUUUUACAGCAUUAUCUGAGUGGCCGAAAGGCAAAAAACCAAAUGAAUCAAAACUUUCAACAACGGAUCUCUUGGUUCUGGCCAUCCGAUGAAGAACGCAGCGAAAUGCGAUAAGUAAUGUGAAUUUGCAGAAUUCAGUGAAUCAUCGGAAUCUUUGAACGCACAUUUGGCGCCCGCCAGCAUUCUGGCGGGCAUGCCCUGUUCGAGCGUCAUUUCAACCCUCGAGCCCGACUCUUCGGAGGACGGCCCCGGUGUUGGGGACCGGCAGACUGCCCCGCCGCCUCCGGGCGUGGGACGCCGCCCCCGAAAAUUUAGUGGCGGCCCCUUCGAGGCGACCUCUGCGUAGUAACUUACCUCGCACUGGGAAAAUCGAAGCGGCCACGCCGUAAAACACCCAACUAUUUUAAGGUUGACCUCGAAUCAGGUAGGACUACCCGCUGAACUUAAGCAUAUCAAUAAGCGGAGGAAAAGAAACCAACAGGGAUUGCCCCAGUAACGGCGAGUGAAGCGGCAACAGCUCAAAUUUGAAAUCUGGUCCCUAGGGCCCGAGUUGUAAUUUGUAGAGGAUGCUUUUGGCAAGGUGCCUUUCCGAGUUCCCUGGAACGGGGACGCCAUAGAGGGUGAGAGCCCCGUCUGGUCGGAUACCGCGCCUCUGUUAAAGCUCCUUUCGACGAGUCGAGUAGUUUGGGAAUGCUGCUCAAAAUGGGAGGUAUAUGUCUUCUAAAGCUAAAUAUUGGCCAGAGACCGAUAGCGCACAAGUAGAGUGAUCGAAAAGAUGAAAAGCACUUUUGAAAAGAGGGUUAAAAAGUACGUGAAAUUGUUGAAAGGGAAAGCGCCUAUGAACCAGACUUUGGGCCCGGUGAAUCAUCCAUGCGUUCUCGCUGGGUGCACUUUGCCGGGCACAGUGCCAACAUCAGUUUGGCUUGGGGGAAAAAGGGCUUACGGGAAGCGUACGCUUCCAGGAAGUGUUAUAGACCUUUGCAUAAUAACCCUGGGCUGGAACUGACGGUUCGCGCAUUCGCAAGGAUGCGCGAUCCAGGUCCAUAACCGCUUGGAAACCGGGAAA